GUUGAACGCUGGCUACAGGCUUAACACAUGCAAGUCGAGGGGAAACGACGGGGUAGCUUGUUUCUUCGGGCGCCGACCGGCGCAUGGGUGAGUAAAGCGUAUCCAAUCUGCCUCUGACUGAGGGAUAACCCGGCGCAAGUCGGCCUAAUACCUCAUGGCAUCGUCUGCGGGCAUCCAACGACGAUCAAAGAUUUCUUCGGUCAGGGCUGGGGAUGCGUUUGAUUAGCUUGUUGGCGGGGUAACGGCCCACCAAGGAUUCGAUCAGGAGGGGUUCUGAGAGGAAGGUCCCCCAGAUUGGAACCACGACACAGUCCAAUCUCGUACGGGACGCAGCAGUAAGGAGUAUUGGUCACUGGACGGUGGCCUGAACCAGCCAAGUGGCGUGCAGGAGGACGGCGAUAUGAGUUGUAAACUGCUUUGAUGCGAGGAUAAAGAGAGGGACGUGUCCUUCAUUGCCGGUACCGCAUGAAUAAGCACCGGCUAACUCCGUG
RNAcentral lists this ribosomal RNA (491 nucleotides) under uncultured bacterium. RNAcentral's name for it is "partial 16S ribosomal RNA". It matches the Rfam family "Bacterial small subunit ribosomal RNA", at positions 28 to 507 of the family's 1533-position model. The record is from RNAcentral.